This 151-nucleotide unclassified non-coding RNA is filed under the name soil metagenome. RNAcentral's name for it is "partial internal transcribed spacer 1". The record is from RNAcentral.
GCGAGUUCAUAACUCUCUAAACCAUUGUGAACCGACCGCACCGUUGCUUCGCGGUGCCGGCACCAGGCCUCCUGCCCUGCUUCGGGCCCGGCAAGCCGCAAGACCGAAACUCCUGUAUUACUGUCUCUCUGAGUACUUAUACAAUAAGUCA